GAUGAACGCUGACAGAAUGCUUAACACAUGCAAGUCAACUGUGGCGGACGGGUGAGUAACGCGUAAAGAACUUGCCUUCCAGCUAGGGACAACAUUUGGAAACGAAUGCUAAUACCUGAUACUGUGAGAGAGCGUUGCGUCCCAUUAGCUAGUUGGAGAGGUAACGGCUCAACAAGGCGAUGAUGUGUAGCCGGCCUGAGAGGGUGAUCGGCCACAAGGGGACUGGGACACGGCCCUUACUCCUACGGGAGGCAGCAGUGGGGAUUAUUGGACAAUGGACCAAAGUCUGAUCCAGCAAUUCUGUGUGUACGAUGAAGUUUUCGGAAUGUAAAGUGCUUUCAGUUGGGAAGCGUUCCCUACUGAAGAAGUGACGGCUAAAUACGUGCCAGCAGCCGCGGUAAUAC
This 404-nucleotide ribosomal RNA is filed under the name uncultured bacterium. RNAcentral describes it as "partial 16S ribosomal RNA". It matches the Rfam family "Bacterial small subunit ribosomal RNA", at positions 28 to 526 of the family's 1533-position model. The record is from RNAcentral.